ACUCCCUCCAAAAAUACGUCCGUACUUCAUGGGUGCGAAUGCAGCUCAGGAAGAAAUUUCUAAGCUAGCAUUAAAUUCGCAUGCAGGAGCAUCUGUACCACCUGCAAGGUCUGAAAAAUCCUGCCAGAAUGUUGGCAGACUGAAAGGCUGUUUCAAAUGAUCACCACUUGAGAUGAUCAGGAAACGUUCAGCUUGACUGAUGGCAUGAGAGUAGCAGUUCUGCCCUGACAUUGGUUCGGUGAAGGACUGAAGUAGGCUUUUCAUUUUAUGCAUGUGAGGAACGCUGCUGACCUCAGCAGGACUGCGCAUGCCUUCAGAGGACUGGUUUGCUGGUGGCAGGAUUGAGAGGAACAGGAGUGUUCGCGUGCUCCACCUCCAAAAUGGGGGCUCCAUGGUGUGUCUGCUGGGAGCUGCUGCCGUCGCCGCGGCUGAUCCCUUUCGCCUCCGCCAGCCCUGUGGAGGAAAUGUCGAGGAGCGAGGAACAAGUGCAGAUUUGUCUGGUUCAGUGGCUUUGAGACAGCACCUGGCAAUGUAGUGUGGAGACAGACAUGAGCCUUCAAAAAAAGUUGGCUCUGGCCCAUGGAGAGUGCUGGGUCAGAGGGUAGAGGGUCCAAGGGUCCGAGUGGUGGGUACUUUCCUGAACGGAUGUUUCUGGUGUAAGGGGAACGUGGCAGAAAACAGUUUUGUUUUAAAUCACUUAAAGAUAUAUUUUCCGGGGGAAAUAGUUCCAGAGAGUGUUGCCUUCAGAUCGUUUGAAGAGGGGAGGUCUGUCACGCAGGCAGAGGGUGAUGCCGUGUGUUGUUCCUCCCUGGUUUCUGACAGAUUUCUUCCUUUGCCCCGACUCUUGCUGUCCCCCAAUCUUGCUUUUCCCCACCUCUCCCUGCCGAUUCCUUCCUCUUCUGCCACUUCGUUCCAUCCGAUCGAGGCAGGUGGAUUUCUGAACUUUCCAGGAGAAAAUGGCUGCUGGCAGGAGGCCAGGGACCUCCCUCACCUCUGGCUGCACUCAGACCCCAUCAAGUCUGUGGUGGUGGUGGGAGGGGGCCAGGGGGAAGCAGCCAAGUGAAAUGCUUCAAGCUGUGAGGCAUUUUCUGUUUACGUUGCAGGCCAAACCCCUUGGAUUUGGACCAGAAUGGCCACUUUUGUGGA
Calidris pugnax (ruff) is the source of this 1146-nucleotide long non-coding RNA. RefSeq lists it as uncharacterized. Lineage: Eukaryota; Metazoa; Chordata; Aves; Charadriiformes; Scolopacidae. The transcript is spliced from 3 exons. The record is from RefSeq and is a predicted model, not a curated record.